CAUCCUGUAAGCUCUGUGGUCGAGCGAUGACUUUGGAAGCCACAGGUCGGUGGUUCGAUUCCACGUGGGCGCA
Phytophthora infestans T30-4 is the source of this 73-nucleotide non-coding RNA. The record is from the annotation of a RefSeq genome assembly. NCBI's taxonomy places the organism in Eukaryota, Oomycota, Peronosporomycetes, Peronosporales, Peronosporaceae.